RNAcentral lists this transfer RNA (69 nucleotides) under Klebsiella pneumoniae. RNAcentral's name for it is "tRNA-Val". It matches the Rfam family "tRNA". From Rfam's summary of the family: Transfer RNA (tRNA) molecules are approximately 80 nucleotides in length. Their secondary structure includes four short double-helical elements and three loops (D, anti-codon, and T loops). Lineage: Bacteria; Pseudomonadati; Pseudomonadota; Gammaproteobacteria; Enterobacterales; Enterobacteriaceae. RNAcentral also lists the same sequence under 35 other names. The record is from RNAcentral.
GGGUGAUUAGCUCAGCUGGGAGAGCACCUCCCUUACAAGGAGGGGGUCGGCGGUUCGAUCCCGUCAUCA